AGCGAACGCUGGCGGCAGGCUUAACACAUGCAAGUCGGGCGGGCAUCCUUGUGGUGUCAGCGGCAGACGGGUGAGUAACGCGUGGGAACGUGCCCUUCGGUUCGGAAUAACUCAGGGAAACUUGAGCUAAUACCGGAUACGUGCGAGAGCAGAAAGGUUUAUCUGCCGAAGGAUCGGCCCGCGUCUGAUUAGCUAGUUGGUGAGGUUACGGCUCACCAAGGCGACGAUCAGUAGCUGGUCUGAGAGGAUGAUCAGCCACACUGGGACUGAGACACGGCCCAGACUCCUACGGGAGGCAGCAGUGGGGAAUAUUGGACAAUGGGGGCAACCCUGAUCCAGCCAUGCCGCGUGAGUGAUGACGGCCUUAGGGUUGUAAAGCUCUUUUCUCCGGGACGAUAAUGACGGUACCGGAGGAAUAAGCCCCGGCUAACUUCGUG
This 437-nucleotide ribosomal RNA is filed under the name uncultured bacterium. RNAcentral describes it as "partial 16S ribosomal RNA". It matches the Rfam family "Bacterial small subunit ribosomal RNA", at positions 29 to 507 of the family's 1533-position model. The record is from RNAcentral.